RNAcentral lists this ribosomal RNA (254 nucleotides) under uncultured bacterium. RNAcentral describes it as "partial 16S ribosomal RNA". It matches the Rfam family "Bacterial small subunit ribosomal RNA", at positions 524 to 776 of the family's 1533-position model. The record is from RNAcentral.
UACGUAGGGGGCAAGCGUUAUCCGGAUUUACUGGGUGUAAAGGGAGCGUAGGUGGCAUGGUAAGCCAGAAGUGAAAACCCGUGGCUCAACCCCGCGGAUUGCUUUUGGAACUAUCAGGCUGGAGUGCUGGAGGGGUAAGCGGAAUUCCUAGUGUAGCGGUGAAAUGCGUAGAUAUUAGGAGGAACACCGGUGGCGAAGGCGGCUUACUGGACAGAAACUGACACUGAGGCUCGAAAGCGUGGGGAGCAAACAGG